CUGACGGAGCAACGCCGCGUGAGUGAUGAAGGUUUUCGGAUCGUAAAGCUCUGUUGUUAGGGAAGAACAAGUGCAAGAGUAACUGCUUGCACCUUGACGGUACCUAACCAGAAAGCCACGGCUAACUACGUGCCAGCAGCCGCGGUAAUACGUAGGUGGCAAGCGUUGUCCGGAAUUAUUGGGCGUAAAGGGCUCGCAGGCGGUUUCUUAAGUCUGAUGUGAAAGCCCCCGGCUCAACCGGGGAGGGUCAUUGGAAACUGGGAAACUUGAGUGCAGAAGAGGAGAGUGGAAUUCCACGUGUAGCGGUGAAAUGCGUAGAGAUGUGGAGGAACACCAGUGGCGAAGGCGACUCUCUGGUCUGUAACUGACGCUGAGGAGCGAAAGCGUGGGGAGCGAACAGGAUUAGAUACCCUGGUAGUCCACGCCGUAAACGAUGAGUGCUAAGUGUUAGGGGGUUUCCGCCCCUUAGUGCUGCAGCUAACGCAUUAAGCACUCCGCCUGGGGAGUACGGUCGCAAGACUGAAACUCAAAGGAAUUGACGGGGGCCCGCACAAGCGGUGGAGCAUGUGGUUUAAUUCGAAGCAACGCGAAGAACCUUACCAGGUCUUGACAUCCUCUGACAACCCUAGAGAUAGGGCUUUCCCUUCGGGGACAGAGUGACAGGUGGUGCAUGGUUGUCGUCAGCUCGUGUCGUGAGAUGUUGGGUUAAGUCCCGCAACGAGCGCAACCCUUGAUCUUAGUUGCCAGCAUUUAGUUGGGCACUCUAAGGUGACUGCCGGUGACAAACCGGAGGAAGGUGG
Molecule: ribosomal RNA, 800 nt
Filed under: Bacillus sp. CO38
Lineage: Bacteria; Bacillati; Bacillota; Bacilli; Caryophanales; Bacillaceae
Also listed under: 4 other names
Description: bacterial SSU rRNA
Rfam family: Bacterial small subunit ribosomal RNA
Source: RNAcentral